RNAcentral lists this long non-coding RNA (632 nucleotides) under Danio rerio (zebrafish). Its description in RNAcentral is "lncRNA (ENSDARG00000117703.1)". The record is from RNAcentral. Lineage: Eukaryota; Metazoa; Chordata; Actinopteri; Cypriniformes; Danionidae.
UCAAAAUGUCUCAGCAGCCUCUGCCACAACAAACACUCCUUUCUACUCACGAGUCGUUUUAUUUAGGGACUAUUGUGUGAACAUUUUAGUUAAAAAGAACUUGCUGGUAUCUCAUUGUACUUGGCCUGUAAUUGUGGCAAUAUCAGAUUUUUUACUUUACUUUUCCCUGAAAUUAUUCUUAAUUUUUCCUAUUUCCUAAUACAUCUGAAUAUUUCAGCACCCCCUGCCAGUACAAGACCAUCUACAACUGAGUCUCAAACAGCAGCACCUAUAGGUACGUAAUCUGUAUGUAAAGUUGUCUGAAUACUUAAGUAGGAAACAUGUUUAUUAUUUUACGCUAAUACUAAUUUACAAAAUGCCCCAUUAGCCUCUGUCACUACAAACUCUCCAUCAACUGUGUCUCCAACAUCAGCUCCUUCAACCUCUGCCACAACAAACUCUCCAUCAUCAAUUGUGUCUCCAACAUCAGCUCCUUCAACAUCUUCUGCCAGUACAAACUCCACAACUCAAACAGCAGAACCUACAAGUAAGUAAUAUAUACUGUAUGCACAUAUGUUGUCUGAAUAAAUGUUAUUCAACGUUUUACUGUUUGGGUGUCUAUGUAAACUAUAAUAAUUGUCACAUAAUAAUCA